ACGUUCGUUCUCCCCGUUCAGCUCCUGGGUGAUUUGCUGCAGGUCGGCCAGCUCCUGUAAAGUGGCCUGGAGCUCCUCAGCAGUGCUGUGUUGGUUCUCCUCCAUCUGGUGAAUGCGCUCGGUCAGACAGGCCACGGACACUUCGCUGGCGUUCCCGCUGCUACCUCUCCGAGAGCGCUCCCUGCUGGGCGCGCAUUCCGACUCCGACGACGAGGACGCCCCGGAGGGGGCGUCCAGCGCGUCGUCGCUGGAGGUGACGGCCUGGUAGACCUCGCUAGAUUCGCUGUCAAGAUUGUCUGCCGAACCUCCGUGCUGGUGCCCUGCGAGCAGGUCCUCUAAGGAACCGGGGGCGGAUCCCUCCACUGAAGAGGUUAAGCUCCUCUCUGAUGGCCUGGUUUUGCUCCUGUAACAGAAUAAGUGUGGACUCCACGUCGGCGGCCGUGAUGGCCGACACGUGGGGCUUCUCCUCCUCCUCCUCCUCCUCCUCCUCCUCGGGACCUUCCUGCAGCUCCUUUCCUCCCAAACCAAGCUGGACCCUCAUGUCUCUCAGCUCGCUGCAUUUGCUCAUGCGGCUCUCAGACUCUACCAGCACCUGGCUGCGUGAGCGCUUCCCCGAGGCUGCGUCCCCCACCACCGUACCUGCCGCAGACUGCUUCUUAUUGGCCGAGGCUCUGGAUGUUCGCAGGCGGUCGCGUGUUAAAUUUGUCUCCUUGGUAACCGAAGAUGUCAAACGCUUGGAUGUAGUACCUAAUAAAAGUACACAGAAAGUCACGCCGCACUUCCAAGAGAGACCAGAACUGAGUAAAAAGGAAAAAGCUGUACCUGAUGUUGUCUUUGGUUUGUCUAGGGUGCUAGCAGUGGUCCCAACAGACGCUGUUCUCUUGGUCUUGGCGACAGCGUUAGAUGAUGUGGGGUUCCCUCCGGCCAUAGCUGCUAAAAGGUCAUCGCUGCUUUUUACCUGGAGGCAGAAAUGUUGACAGUAGCCAUCACGCUCUCCAUAAAAUCGGAUACAUUUCCACUAAAAUGGCGUCAGGAAGCGCAGCCUUACCUUAGAAAGAGGUGCUGCUGUGCUGCUCUUGGAUACGGGCUUCCCAGUGCCUGUGGUACCGGCGACCUCUGGCUUCCCUCGCUCUCCGCUCGCCCUACUCACCGCUGGCCGCACCGACUUCUUCAUGCUAAGCCCUCUGAUGCCGGUUCAUCUACAGCUCGGUCUGGACGUAGAGGAGGGAAGCAAAAAGGUGAAGAACGUCAAAACGCACAGCGAAAGCUGCAAUUUUUCACAGAGGAAAAAAAUGAUUUCCGCCAACAGAAGAGAAAGAAACCGUUUUCAUCACAGCGAACGCCAGAAAACGUUUGUCAGCUCCUGUCGUCUGAUAAACAGACGCUCAAACAGCAAAAUAGCUGCAGCUCCAACAGCAGAAUGGUAGCUAGCAAUAAGUGGUUCAGACCUGAUGACUUUAAUCCUGGUAUAUUCACAUUCAGGCGUACCCAGGAGGACCACCCAGGAGAGGAAGUUAGGACCUGUUCCUCCACUAGAUGGCCCUCCUGUUUGUGAUAUGGAAUCAGCUGCAACAACAAUCACACAAAUAAGCUUCUGGGUGGGUGGUUCAGGAGGCUGUCGUGUGUUUAUCCGAGGGGAAUGAACCGAGCAAAAAACCACGGUGCCGAUCCAAAAAAGGCAAGAACCCAUCGCAUCGGACAUCAAAGUCAAAUACUUUUCAGCAAAAAGAAGAGUCUGUUAGUCUGUUGCCGAGCAACCGACAAUGGAUUCCAUUGCUACCUGCCAAGAAAUCAUAUUAGGCCACGAAAGUUGGAACCGCCAACUCAAACGGGAUCCACCUCCUGGGCACGAAGUCUUUAUUUACCCCAAAAGGUUUCGUAUAAAACACCUUGAAGUGUUUCAGCUGGCAAAGAAAGACGCAACUGUUGUAAAGGCCGCAAACACAUAAAGAACGCACGUCGGAAAGACGGGAGGUUCUAUUCAGCGUAGCGGAGUGAUGUCACGAGCGCACAGCUGGAGAGGAGCUGCAAGUAUUUUGCCACAGAUCUGGAAGUCUGUGUUCUGAAGGUGCUGAAGAGGAAAACAGGAGCUAAAGUUAUUUAUUUCUUGGAGCAAAUCCAACCCAAAUUAAUGUCCCAGCCAAUAAUCUGCUGUUUUCUUGAGGGUUUGUUGAUCGAUUCGUUUCGUGGCAGGAGGUCAAAUUCAGAAAAAUAAAAUAAAUUAAUCAGGAAUCUUAGCUACACAAAUACAAAUCUGAUCGUGUGACCACCAAAAACUGGUCCAGUGUGGAGACUAGUUCAUCAUCAGGGUGUUUUGGUUCUGGACGAAACACGUCACGCGUUCAUUAACCACCUCCGACAAGAAAAACACAACCACCUGCAUCACGUGUAGGAAGAUAAUCUUUUCCAGUCAUUCAGACGCUGCAGCUCUGUGAUCCAGAUGUGCAGCGCAUUCUUUUCACAGAUCCGUGUGGCGUUUCACUAAAGAAUGCACAGAAUAACUCUCUGAACAUGCAAAACGCACCAUAGCUGUAUUUUUGGGCUGUCGUUGAGCACGAACAUGUCUGCUAAUACAGUGGGACCUCUACUUAUGAAAUUAAUUGGUUCCGGAAGUUGUUUCGUAACCUGAAAAUUACGUAAGUAGAGGCGCGUUUUCCAUGUAAAUGCCCUAAUCCGUUCCAAGCCCCCAAAAAUUCGGACAUCAUUUUUUUAAAAAUCAUAAAAAUGCAUCAAAACAUGUAACAAAUACAUGUUACACUUAGGUUACCGCACAAUAAAUGUAGGAAUUCAGUGCAGGAACAAAAUGACUUUAUUACAGGCUAAUCUUACAUUAGCCGUCACUACUAGCAACGAACGCUAACACUUGUGGUAACACCGCCAUCUAAUGGACAAACAUACGAACACCCACAAUAAAUGAAAGUUAAACGAAGGCGACGCUGGGAUGCACACAAACUGUACAUAUUGACGUCCCUCCUAGCAAAUGCAGCUCGACACGUGCACACGCCAUGUUUGCGUACGCGAAACUCCGCGAGCGGCGAGUAGCAGCGGUAGCGUAUUUUUGCCUUUCGUAUCCUGAAAUUUCAAGAGGAAAUAUUUUCCCGUUGAGACGUUUCGUAACCUGAAAAUUCCGCAUGUAGAGACGUUCGUAAGUAGAGGUCCCACGGUACUGCAUACGGUGGCUAAAUCAGGCGGUCGUGAUCGUGGUUCGACGCUCUCUGGCCUGCACGUACGACCUCCUCAUAACACAUGUGGAAGGGUGUUGUCAGUUCCAACGUGUGAGCUGAACAACUCAACAAUGUGAAUAGUUGAAUGUGUGUCAAAGCAGAUGUGUGAAAAAGAGCCGCACGCUCCAGUUCAGCCCUUUUCUUUGGGUCUGAACGGGCAUGAGGGUGCUGGCGGGGCCCCAAAAGACCAGCAAACCGCAGGUUUGUCCUCCCCAAUGAAAAGCUUCUGUGGGUUUAAUCAUCCCUGGGAUAAACUAGAGUGAGCACGUCUACCAAAACUGUGUGUUUUGUUUUUUGGGGGGGUUAAAAGUCUGAUCAACCGUGGAAAAACAAGACCAUGAAUAACUUUGUCAUUGGUGACUCAAUGUUGCUCAGCUGACCACUUACAACAUCUUUCUGUUUUAAGAGCUUAAAUCUCUCACAGUCUCAAAUAGUAUCCAGGGGACCAUCUGACCGCAUUCAUCUAGUGAGGAUGGACACUGUCGGGGGGACAAUAUAACAUGGCACCAUAAAAUAUACUAAUCUUACCUCAUAGAUGUAAAAGGAAAAGAAUUCAGGGUGCUUUAGAGUAAGCAACAAGCUAACCCAACGCUUGGUUCAAAUUAAAUAGAACUUUGUGGUUUUAGUGGUGAUGAAGGUGAGUCUCAUUUAAGAAGAACCCAAAAGGAACAGUGGUCUGUGUGUGGUUUUCCCUGUACAGACAACUGAUUAAAGCACAUAUCACAGAUGGGACAAAAGCAAGACAGUGGAGAGAAUGAGCUGGGGGUGGGGCGCUGGACCAGAAACUCAUUAGGACUCUUUCCCUGCUCCCCCUUCUGGAUUCAUGCUUUAACCACGGGGGAGCCACUUCCGAAGCAAAACACCAGCUUCCUGCAGAGGCGUCUCCAUUAGAACAGAGAGCCGUAGAGCCUGAAGGGGAGACUGUGUGUACAAAGACAAACAGGCUCCGGUCCAGCACCAAACAGAGAGGACACUGUCAAACAGGACGUCUUUUACUUCCAUGCUUCGUGAUCAAGUUUGGAAUACAAAAACAUUUUCUGAUACAACUAUUCAAAAUCACAAGUCGACUACAAAGUGUAGACACAUUUCAAACUCGGUGACUAAACUGUGUCAACCUAUUCGGUUUUAUUCUUUCACAUCAGUGAAUGUCCCCAUGGUUUCUUUGGGAAGCAUUUAUGAUUCCUUCUUUACCAAGAUGAGGAUGGCAGAGCCAAGUUGAUGGUUUUCAGAAAGAUGAUUUCUAAAAUGGUACAAAGUAUGUAACACCGACACGUCCCGCCGUGGCUGAUGACUUCUCUUUGGCCAGUGAAUAACUAUUGUUCAUGGCUAAACCUUUUUGUUGUUGUUGAUCUGAGCUAAACCCACAUCAGCAACAUUAGCAGAAAAUGCUAACAUGAAGUCUAAAAGCCGUCAUACACCAACAGCUUUUCCAAACCACACCGUUUGGCAAAAUGGAGCUACCCGACACUCUUAGCGAGCAGUCGGCUUUAAAAUCUUGUUUGAGUAUAACUAACGACUUCAAAAACAGCGAGCUCGGCUAGCUAGUUAGCAAAGUGAGGCACGCAGGGAAUGCGAGUAAUUUCAUUUCCGGUUUGGUCACGCACUUUCAAAACAAAGCAAACAUGAACACAACCUCACACCGAAAUCAAAUAUCUAACAUACGAGAGGCUACAUUUCACCAGGGUAAAGUCCUGGCAAUAAAAAUGUCUGCUAUAAGUCAUGCUGAGUAGUGUGUGGUCCUAUUACAAGUUUACAAAAAUGUACAUUUCUUCCCUAUAGACUCGACCCUAAACCAGCCAAAAGAGUUCUGCAGUUAAAACGACUUUUUAUUCCUGAUAAACCAGAAUCUAGUAGUUGCAUACACACGCACGCACUUAUUGACAGCGCUGGUAAAGCGUUGCAAAAGCUUAUUUUGAAAUAACUGAUGGCUGUCCAUGUGAAGGUUUCUGCCUUGACAACUUACCUAAAAGCGAUCUAAAACCUGAAUCAUCUACAAACCCAAUGAAAGACGCGAGUCUGGCAAAUUAAAACAACUUUGGUUGUUGAUCCCGCUGCUUUCACGGGCGUCUAGUUUCCCCUUAAGCUGUCAAAAAGAGAAAUGGCAGCUAAAGGUGCUAGCGCCGCGGCUAAUGCGCCUGCUAACAAUGUUAGCAUAGCCGGCAUAAAGGCAGCGCCGUGGCAACGAGCUGAUAAAUCCUCCAUACCUGAUGUUUCCACGCUUCUCUCGGUUGGGCUGCUGAUAAAUGGCCGAUGGUGGCUCAUUGGGGUUCCACGGGAGCCCGCUAAUCCUUCACCUCAGACAGCGGCGGGCAGCAUCGCUAUCGGAUAUCAGCCCCUCUUCUGGCAGCAGCAGCCGGCCGGACGAUCCUCUGCCCCCUCCUCUGGUUGCAUCAUCUCAGCAUCCCCCUCUGCGGGCAGGAGGGGACACUCAACUGCCUGCAGGGGCAUCUCCAGGUCCCACCGGGGCAUUUAUUACCUGCACAUGUUGGUGCUGAACCCGAGCGGCUGCAGCCGGCUGAUAAUGUGGGUGAACAACACCCUCAAAAAAACUAAAAAAAUAGAAAACUGCAUAAAAAGCAUAAAACUCGAUUACACGUAAUGCAAC
Molecule: long non-coding RNA, 5829 nt
Filed under: Takifugu rubripes (torafugu)
Lineage: Eukaryota; Metazoa; Chordata; Actinopteri; Tetraodontiformes; Tetraodontidae
Description: lncRNA (ENSTRUG00000031465.1)
Source: RNAcentral